GGCUCCUAUUGUGUGCCUCUGAACUUCCAAGUCAAUGCAAUUUUUAACCACUGGCUUGUGGUACUUUGAAAAUCACCAGGGGCUGUCAGAGUUGGGUCCUCUGAAAAAUUUACAGUGCUAAAUCAGAGCAUAUGCUGUGAGAGAGGAAAAAAAAUUGCUUAAGAUUGGAGCAAGUACAGUAUCUGGCUGCCCCCUAGUGUAAGUCUCUUAUCUGCCUAAAAUUCAACUUUAAAAGAAAAGGAUCUCUUAAAGGGAAACGACUUUUGGCUCACGUAUGCAUACGAGAAUGAAACUUCUGUACAUUUUAAUCUGAUUAAUUCCUAAGGAUUUAAAAUUAAUUGGCUUGGGCACUGCUAGACCGGACUAUAAGAUUUCUGCAGCAGGGUUUCUGCGAGCCCUGGACCGAAUAGGAACCGUGCCUCGCACGCUGUUGUCAGAGCAAAACACUUUUGCUGCUUUAAGUCAGACCUGCGCCUUUUGCAAUAAUACAGGAUAAAUAAUUGCAUUAAAGCCAGAGCCGCGCUGCCAACCACACCUUCGGCGGAAGGCAGAAAUAUGUGAACUGCCGAGAGAGGUGGGUACUUUUUGUAGUAUUGCCCACAGGGUGAUUUAACAGAAGUCUGCUGAUUUUUACCAUGGUCCAGCACUUAGCUUUGUGCAGUGCCUCUGUGGCCAGGCACUGAGCUGCCCUGUGCUCUGGUUGCUUCCCCAGAGACAGGGAAAGCAGCAAAGGAUGUGGGGUUUCUCCCAGGAUUUUGGAAGAUGCCUCAGACAGUGGUGAGGAGUGGGCCAAAACCCAGGUCCAACCUGGAUUCCUCCCUCUGGGUACUCCUCUCGCCAGUGCUGACUGCUGAUGGAUCACAGCAACAUGGAUAUUCCCCUCUCCUUGCUCCCCAGCAGCAGAUCGCCAGGAGGCCCUGAAAGAAUCCUGUGGGGAUGAACCUAAGAGUCUGGAGAAGUGCUACAUGGCCUGUGUCUGUCCUGGGUCCUCCUCAUCAGUGCCUUGAGCUGUGUGAAGCCCCAAGAACCAAGCCACCGCCAAGGGCAUGACUGGGUGCUUGCUCCUGUCACGAACCAUACCUGAAGUACAGCGCCAAGGUUCAUCCGUAGCUUCUGCAAGUAGGAGCACUUUCUGUAGGCUCACAUUAGUGUGCAGCCCACACUUUGUGUAGGCUCACUCUAGUUUACAGGUAUAGUGUUGGUGAUGAGCGAGACAAUAAUGUAAAGAUAACCCAUGCAAACCCUUUUCUAGAACUGACAUUGUUUCAUCACUUUCUCUAUUUUCUGGAUGAAGCAGCCAGCACAAGGAGGGCAUGCUGACACACAUCCCACUCGAUAGUUGAAAAGAACAAACUGACAAAUGUUUCUAAUUUGCUGAAGUUUAUCAACAUCCCAGUGAAUAACGGGUGAAUGAUAUUUUCCUUUGGCUAUCCAUAGAUGUACAUGGAAAUGCUGAUAAACUGACACUUAGUCCAGGGACUGUACAGAAAUAUAUCAGAUACAAUAUUCCUAGUGAAAACCUUUAUGGAAAGUGUUUCUGCCCCAAGCCCCUGCCGGGAGACACACAGUGAUGCUCCCUGAGACCUGGCAGCCCUUCGAAGUGAGCAUAUGGCCCGCCCAGCUCUUGCAAUACCACUGCAUGGUGAGUAAACAUGCUGCAAUAUCAGAGCAAGCAGUGGGCUGGUUAAUAGCAAGGAGUUCUCUGGCUCCUUCCAACUUUACCGACACUUUGGGAAUGGAUUCCCUGUCUCUGCUGCUGAGGUGAGCACCGUUUGCAGAACAGGCAGGAGAAAAUGGAGAUGAUCUCUUUGGGGGCAGGUGGUGUUUGUGGCCCUCUCCCAUAUAGCUGCUGCUGCAGCAGAAGACUCCUGGUGUGUUAAGGAGAUGUGAUUUCUGAUGGACCAACAUUGCCUGCUUUAUUUUUAUUUUUUCUUUUUUUUUUUUUCUUUUUAAGAUUCGAUGUUACCUGCAAAGUAACGAGAGGAGGGACCUGAAGGUAAAACCCCUACCGUUGGUGCAGGUGUUGAAGGGCAGAUCAGUGGCUGCAGGAGCUGCAUCUCUGAGGCAGCUGACAAAGCCAGGCUGGUCGGUGCUAGCAAACAGAUCUGGUCCUGCCCCUCCGCUUCUUGCACUGGCAGAACACGGCACUGAAAUCACUGGAGCAGGGAUCGGGCCAGGAAUGAGCGGCUGAGUUGCAAAGCAAAUUAAUUCCUGCCAAAAAAGUUCAGCUAUGCUCAGAAGUAUGUAAAGUGUCUGAUUUGAGAAGUGUCAAGUAGCAUUUGUGACCAAUUAUCCAAGAUGAAGGGGGCAGAGCUAUGUUUACAUGUACUAAUCUUCAGCCAAAGUUUGAAAACUCCAAUUCAUGGACACGCAUCAAAUUUCCUUUCCAGGCUUGGCAUUUGCCUGUACGCACGCACGCACAUUGCUCGGGGAUGACAGGAAAACAUGAUUACGACUUGCAAAUAAUACAAAUAAAAAAAAAAAGUGAGGUGAGCUGCCAUGCAGCAGCAGCAUGGUAAUUAAGCCUAUACUAUGAUAAGUGGGGGGAAAAAAAAACACAGACUGCUGUAUGAGUAAAAUAGCUUUAUCAGCUGAGCUGAAAUAUUAUGGGUGAUGUCUCUGCAUUGUUAUUUUCCACAACCUGUGAAGCCCUGGGAAAUGAUCUACACAAAAGAAUAAGAAAUGAAAGCUGCCUCUGCCAUCUUCUGUUUAAUUAACACAGGUAUACCAAUUUAAUGCAAUUAAUCAAGAUAGUAGGGAUUAAACAGUAACUCACAGUGGGCAACGACAAUGUUAUCAAUGCUAUGGGCAUAGAAGGGCUAGAAAAUGAUUGUGGUGACUGGAAGCACUGUGGGCACGAACAAGCUGACUAGUUUUGGGUGGGUUUCAGGGGUUUGUGCAUAUCUAUUGAAACUUAGGAGCAGCUGAUUUUUCAUAUGGCUGAGUGUUUUUCUGCCCUGCCCUUCCCUUUCCCCUCUCGGACCUUGCAGGGUAACCCCCAGAGCAGCAACAACUUUUAAAGUGAUUCCUCUUUCUUCUAACAGGUUCCUGAUGCCAAAGGUCUGACCUUAAAAUGAGCAGCACACAGGGCAAGAACGGGCACUGCAGCGAGCUCCUGGCCUUCAACCCUUCCACACACAGCUAUUUUGUCAAUUUCCCACAAGCUUUUGUUGCCCAGUUCCUGCCAAUAGCCAGGGAACAAGCAAAAGUCAUCACAGAAAAUGAGCAACUAGUAGUGCCACCGCAAUCCCUGGCUGUGCAGUCCCGGGAUCUUCUGCUAUCCUACUCUCUGCUUUCAGGCUGUGGUUGAAAGAGCAGCUUUCACAGAGAAAUGUGAAUACUAUUUUGGGGUAAGUGGAUUUUUACUCAAUUUGGGUUUUAUGUAAUGUAUGAAGUCUGUACAAAGCCCAGCAUUAAUCCCAGCCUAGUUGUGAAAACACGUUUUGGACAACCUUGUCCAAUCCCAUAAAGCAUACCUGUGUACCGCAGUGGUACCUGCUCCAUUUAUAUAUUAUUAUUAUAAUAAUUAUUAUUUUUUUGCUAGGUCAGCCCUUUCAGAGUUCACAUUUAAUUUGUAAAGGAUUCUGUAUCACACAUCAGUUGUGCUAUCUCUCUACCUUCUGAUCAACUGAGAGAUUUUCUUAAGACUAUUUAUAUUUUAAUUUAUUAGAACAUUUCUCUACUUCCUUAUUUGAAUAACUAAGGAUUUUACAAACAUAAUAUGAUCUAAAAAUAACUCUCCAAGAUGGAAUGGAUACUCAUUAUCAUUUUCUCUUUAGUACUUGCAAGUCUUGGGUUAUCUUAUGCAACCUUUACAUGUUGGCUAGUGUUUUACUCUUUCGUAGCUUUGCUCAAAUACGGAAGGUAGUGAUAACAGAUAAUGUGUGUUAUAGGUUUCCUUACAGAUGAAAUCAAUGAAGUGUCCUGAAGUCUGGUAACUACUCAAUACCAGCAGCCUAUAUGGCCCUCUGUGCUAUUACUGCUGCUUUGAACCAAUUUAUUUAGCCAUUUUGACUUUACUCAGAUGCAUUCCUUCCUGCUGCCACAGCAGGGAUACAGAAGGUUUUAAACCAUGCAGUCAUUUCCAUCCCAGAUUUCAUGAGGGGUUAUUCUUGUCUGAGUGAUGAAUCAUUCAUACAUCCUUCUACGGAUUCCAGGUGAGUUACUCACAUUUAGGUGCUUCCAAGUAAUACACAGAAAGGUGCUGAGAAAAUGACAAGUCUCUGACCAGUCAGGAAGCUCAGCAAAAGUAAAUCUGAGCAAAAUGCUUGCACUAGGGCUCAAAAUCUUUCUAGAGACCUGGGGCCAAAGGGCUUCUGCCUUCAAAACAACAUGGCCAGCAGGGAGGUGGGGUGCUUGCAUUACUGACUGACCAUCAGCUGCCCUGUCCUCAGAAACAGUUCAGGAGAAGACUGAAAGUACCUGAAGGUAUGAGAAGGAUAAUUAAGUUUCAUUGUGGGAAUGAGUGUAAUCUGUCCAGACAAAUCUAGGAACUAAUAUUGAAAACUAGUAUCUGAAUAUGAAAAAUUAGUAAUUUUUUAAUAAGGAUGUCCAACAGGAUGGUAAAUUUAGGGAGUAAAAAAGCAGCUUUGCUUGAUAGACCAUCUCUCCAUCUUCCUCUAACCCAUUUUGUCAUUCUCUUUCUCCCUGUUAUGUUACUGCAAUAAAAACCCAAACCAAAACAAAACAAAAAAAACCCCUAAAAGUAUAAAAUCUAAUAUUGAGAAUGCUUUAGCUUCAUUUCAAUCUUCUCUUCUCAUAGUGCUUUUUUUCCCACUGUGAAGAUUCCCCCUAUGAGAUAACACAGGCCACGGUGACGUUAGCCUUGCAGGACCACAUUUGCUGGCAGCACAGCUGUAUUUUGGGGGGGUCUCCAAGGAGGCCAGUUUCCCACUCUUCUGGGGCUCUUAAGGAUGGUUUUGAACUGGCAUGAGAAAUCACCUGGCGCUCAGAGCAGAGCAAGGGUGUGUAGGACAGUAUUUUCUCUGUGCCUUCUUUGCUGAGCAGAAUAGCUGCUCUAUAAACAAAUGUGAGUUUUGCCUCAUUCUUACACAGUGUGAGUUAUGAAAGCCCACUCAAGACAUAAUGAAUGUAUAGAUCAUUUUGACCAGAUCAUAAUCUAUAAGUAAACAUUCCCUGAAAAUGUAUAGUUGAAAUAAAGAACUUCUUGCUACUAUUGCUGUAUCAGUAUCAGGGAUUACUGAUGAGGCCAACAUGAUCCUGAGACUUUGUGCUAACAAUGUUUAAAUACAGUGCAGAAGUAGCUACAGAGUUUGGUUAGCAAUUUACUUUUCAUGUUAGUAUAUUUAGGGUUUAUGCUGCUGGAAACAAAACCUGAAGCUAUGCAAGGUUUACCUGUCCCCAGACUUUACCACAAGCCCCAAACUUAAGUUCACCGGGAGGCCCAUUAACACUUAUAUAACUUUUCUAUUAGGUUCCCCUGAUUUUGGUAACAAUAUUAAUAAGCAAAUCACAUAGCGAUAUCUCAGAGCCCUAUUCCCUCUGCAAAUUAAGUACCUACAACACCUAUGACUUCUUCACUGUAUAGAAGAAGCCUGAGGACACCAGGCUAAGACCUAUGGCUGAUUGCCACCACAGCCUCUAGGCCAUGGGUAGGUUAAAUUUAAAGAAGGUGGCACUUAAGUGACAUCUGUGUGACAUGUGCUGUAAUGUCCAGAGAUUGGACUUUAUGUAUUCUGCUCUAAAGCUAGAGAGCAAGUCACUAGGAAAAAAAAAAAGGAAAGAAACACGAGGGAAUAAAAGUACUUUUGAAAGAGAAGAAAUCUACAUUUCAAUGAAAAUCCUUUCAAGGCAUUUCAAAUAAGAGUCUGAGAGAAAUAAUUACAAAGUUUGGAGAGAAAGAACGUUAGCUUUGAUAUCUUUUUCUUCUAUGAAGCAAUUAAAAUAAGCAAUUUUUCAAAUACUAAGCAGAAAAUUACUAAUGGCUGAACCCAAAAGCUUUCAUUUCCUUCUUGGGGCCUUUAUUCUUCUAAAAAAAGACAAAAAAAUGUGAAGGUGGUUUUCCAGAUAGAUUAAUGCAUAAAGCAGUCGCUAGUUGGAUGUCAUAAAAACUACAGCAGCAUAGAAUAGCUGAGAUUAAGAGCUAGAUUUAAAUCAUGCAACAGUCCAGUUAAUAUCAAUGUCUAAUUAAGAAAUGCAUAAGAAGUCUGUAAUGUUGAUUUGAUGGAGAAAAACUCUAAUAGGGUUUCUUUUGGAAUUUUCCAUUUCAAUUGCUGUGUAGACUUUUAAUGGAUGUCCUAUCCAGUCUUUGGUAUUAGCAGGAAUCAUCCUCAAAUUAAAACCAGGGCCAAAAAUGGAACACAGGUAGACAAAUUAGCUUGUCUGGGAAGCAGUCUGGGUAGCAUGACAAUGUGAGCUCAAGCUGAAAUUUUAGUACAAAUAAAAGAGAACAAAUGUCUCAAAUCUGGCAUGGAAACCCUAUCUGCUUAUCAUUUUAAACAAUUUAAAACCCUGUAAUUUCAAACAAUGCAGUGCUAACCCAUUUCCUCACCUCCCCAAAUCUCUGACAAUUCAUACGUAGAAAUCCACAGACCAUUAAGAAUUAUUAAUUAGCCUUUUUAAAUAGGAAGACUUUCUAUAGCCAUGUAUAUUAGCAGCAUGUAGAGGUGGGCUCUUCUUUGCUUUCAGUGGGGUUUAGAGCACACAGCUCCCUAUCACCAUCAACGAAUGCCAUUAAGCUCCCACUCUUUUCCGGGUAACUAAAGCUCUAAAACUCUGUGAGCAAAACGAAACCCGUGGCAUCUGCCACAGAUCAUUCAGGAUGUUUGGUCUCUAGGUAUGAAAGGGGAACUGGUUUUACACUGCAUGCCAUUGACACCCUGAAGUUGUUACGUUAUAAGCAGUGUAACUGUGAGCAUGUACAAAUCCACACAGCAAAGAGGGAGGAAGCAUAGCACUGGAUUAAAGCAGCAGUGUAUUUGUUAUCGCCACUUUGUUGUUGACCCAACAAAUCCAGAGGGAAUUAUCUCAAGAAUCCAGGAAGACAGCAAACUCAAAAUAACCCCUAUGACCUAGGGAGCGAGCACGCUGGGGAGUCAUUUUUAAGUUCAUUAGAGAACAUUAAAAUACAACACACUGGUCAUGGUAAAGGAAGGCAUAUUAUUCCAUCUGUCUAUAUAUUUCUUUCCAAUACUAAAUCCAUCCAGAGACCUUUCAGAAUUAUACCAUUAAGCCUUGACACUUCACUUAACAAAAAAAGUAGGAAAGACUAGAGGUAAAAUCACAGUAACAGUGGAAGUUCAGCACUUCCGAGUUGCCAUCAUUGCCUGAAAUGUCGGGGUCUAAAUCCUUACCUGGCUUUACUCCAUCGACCAACGAGGCACAAAUACUUACAUAGCAAUGCUGUGGCACUGAGACUGCCCCAAGGAAUUUUCUCUUUCAAAGAGAAGGGAGCUAGGACAUUCUAAGCGAGGUGUCCACCCUCUGAAUGAUAUGAAGGUCUAAUGUGGGGACAUUCGGGUCAAAGGAGUUUGAUUUUUUUUUUUUUUUACAGCCCCUCCUACUUGACUGUAUGACUCGGGAGCUAUCAUGGACAAAGAUGCUUUUAAAUCAAAGUGGAGCACUGCUUUUGUGGGGUGCUCUCCCUGCAAGCUUGGAUUUAUGCAAUACUUAGAAAAUAAGAGCACGAAGCAGGCUGCCUUUUGCAAAAGCAUGCAACAGAAAAAUAAACAAACCUUAACUUGCCCAACACACUUGAGAGCCACAAAGCUGCUUAGUUUUAUUAAAUGAGAGCACAAUUUCUUCUUUCCUCCAUAAAACUGUCCUUUCAGACAUUACUACAGUCAUGACCUCACUGCAGCCCUUGGAUUCUUUCUGAAAAGAUUAAAAUGAACUAAUAUACCAGUGAUCUCAUCAAAGCGUAAAGGACAUCUUAUGGAGGGGGGGAAAAGACAUCAGGAGAACCUCGGUGUUUCAUCUGCAUAAAGACAGUAGCAAAAGGCCUGUAACAUUGUGGAGAAGCACUAAAGAUACAACACCAGAGAGGCAUUUUUCCGUCUUAUGAAUUCUUAGGAUUUGUCCUACCUGAUCCUACCUACCACCCUUUUAGCUGCCUCCACAAUCCAUUCUCUUCCUUGUCCUCCUGCCUUUAUGAAAACCUUCCUUUGUCUCUUCUGUGCCCUUCAUCCAAGUUCUAGCAUACCUGACUGUUCUUUGAAUCAUAUGCACUACUAUUCUCAACUACUUCCAAAAUACAUUUUGCAGGAUAUAUACACACAAUGCCAUUACACAGAAAUAUUCACACACUUCAUCUUUAGCUUAAGUAAUCCUGACUAAGGAUGUGCUUCCUAUUUGUCUAUGCAGUUCAGAGGCCAAGGGCCUGGAUCAUGGCAGCCUCAUGUACUUUGGGGCACCUUCUAUCAGAAGCCAGGAGGGCAGGCAGGGAGAGAUGCUUUCUGUUUUCUUCAGCAGGAAAAGCUGUAUUGAUGUAAUUGUGAAUCCCACCACGUUUUAAAGGUUGUGACAGAUCAUUUGAUUGAAAACAAGACAAUCUUCAGAACAUGAGAACAGUGAUAGUAAUGCAACCUUAUCUGUUACACCCAUAGGUGCACCUUGCUCUGGCCUGAGAUCUCUCCAGUAAGCAACAAGGUGACGAACUGGUUUCCUGACUCAUGCUGAAGGUCACGUAGGAGCCCCAGGCCCACCUUGGUGUGCCCGCCCACAUCCCCUGACUUUUCAGGGAGGGACGUGCCGGUGCGGCCAUUCCUCUUCCCAGGCGGCCCUAUUACCCCAGGCAGGCAGGAAUAGCUGCCACCACUGCCACCGCCCGAUCGCUGUAUGCUUGGCAGGAGGAGACAAAGCUACUCAUUUCCAUCUGUGACACUUCUCAGCCAGGAAGAAAGCCGCUGGGCAUGAGCCCGUAGGCUGGGAGGCAUCAGAGCAGCCACCUGUUAGAUGCUGACAAAGAAACCUCCCAAACCCAUCAGGCAGAGAUGAAUUCCCAGGACCAAAGGAAUCUGAUACAAAGGGUGGCAAUGCCUUUCUACCCACCCAACAUGAUUUGUUCCUCCUAGAUGAGGCAGCAGACAAACACAUCCGGCCCCAUAUGCUCCUCAGUUUUUAGAUUUGCUUUGGUGAGGAGAGUCCCGAUCAGUAGGAUAGGAUAAUAUGUGCUGCAGCCCUAGUAGAAGUCCAAAUAGCCCAAGGAGCAGUGCAGAGCAUCUGCUACCACCAAGGAAGCAGCGGGCAUAAAGCUGUUGGUUUGUCUGGAGGCACAGACUUAUCAGCACCGAGGUGGGUGGGAGAGCUCUGGAUAUGCACCAAGAUCUCCUCUCCCCACAGAUUUACCAGCUCAGCUCAGCUCAGGCCAAAGGAACAGGGACAAGGUCCUGGGCUCUGCUCUGAGUUCACUGCUCUAUUGAUUACAAAGCGGUAUUUACAGCAGAUCAGGAUCCUGAACUGAGCCUGGCCUGCCAGCUGAAGCUGUACAAACUAAGUCAUAUAUUCCCCAACUACAGAUAAAAGCAAUGGCCAAUUUUAGCCUAACGAUCACUUCUGCCAAAGGAAAGAAACUCUUUGAGGUAAGUUCCCUGGGAUAUAAUUCUUUCUUUACAGGUUAAAGCAGGGGUGUAGCUAAUACAUAUCUGAGUCGUAACAUGGAUUUGCACCUUUCCCAUUAAAUACAACUGGUUCAUGUCCAACGAAUCACUUCUAUUCCUAAUGCUCACUUAUAUCUUUACAACUUCUGCAUUAGCUGCAGGUGUGAAAUGCCAACUGAUCCAGACUUCUCUUGUUGUCAGCAGGAGUAAUGCAUGUAAAAGGCCUGAUUUUCAGAAGUGAGGUGACCAGCAUCCCUACUUGCACAUCUGCUUCAAUAAAUAAAUCUGUGGAGAUUUGCAAGGCUCAAAUAUGCACAAAAUGGGAUGAGUUCACUGGGGUCCAUACCUAAAAAACUGUUCACACUCCUCAUUUAGUAGGCAGGUCACCAUUUGCUCUCUAUACAAAAUAUUUGCUCUUUUAUAAGAGUAAUCAGCAAUAUAUUGGUUAAAUGGAACGUAGACCUACUAUUCCAAUAGCAACUAAUAUGAAUUAAAAACAAGUGAUUUCAAAAAUCCAUGUAAUACUGUGAAAAGCCCUGAGCAGAACACAUGUCAGAGUACUUUUCAUGAACAUCUAAGAUCCCAGACCUGAGAUGAUGUUGCUCAAAACAUAUACUUCCUUAAAGAGGUUGUUAAAAACAUUUUCAUAAUAAUCAGAUGAGAUGCACUUUUCAUACUGGGGAAAGGAAGCACUUGGUUUGUAAUAACAAGUGUUUGGAAAAGGCUAUUAAGGUUCAAGGAACCGUGCUGUUGCAGACAGAAUAGCUUGUAUGUACCUUCAUGGAAGUGGCUAUUGAAUCAAGGUGUCUUUUUCCCCUGAAACUUACACCAGAAAUUCAGUGCAAAGACUUUUUGUGUUUAAUCGGGCUGACUUCAUUACCUUCCUGAGUAAUAGAAAUUCCACUUGUUUCCCUGAGUGGUGGAAUACAUAAACAUGAAAAGAAAAGGGGAAAAAUAAGAGAUGUGGAUUUUCUUUGGGUGAAGUAAUACAGGAGAAAAUAGGGCUUGACAAACAUUUGAGUAUAAUAUGCUUUGGGUUUUUAACAAAAAGUCCAAAGAAACAUGCUUGAACGAACAUUUUAUAAUGCAUACCUGUUAGUUUAUCUUCAUUUUUGUUGCCACAUAUAAUUGAAAAACUUACAGACAACUCAUAAGACUUUUAGUUUCUGUUGAGAAGUGCCUUUUCCAAGAUAAUUCUGUAGGCUAUUACUUUAGCCCACUGGGUAUCAUGUAGGCAAGGUGUAAGAUUAUGCACAUGAAUAUUUCUGUCUACCACUUCUGUGUGCUGAGACAAUAUCAAUUUAUACUUUCUUCUGUCAUUGGUCCUUAUUCCGUAGAGGAUAUUCUUAAUUACCAGCAAGACAAUUUGGUAAUAUCAUCUGAAGUGUUACAGCAUCAUUCCUGUGAUGAUUUACACCUACUUAGUCUGAUCAUUGAAUUUUAAACCAUAUAUUAAGCGCAGAAGGUGGAGGAUAUGUUUUUUUUUCUCUACAGGACACCAUUUCUAUUUUUAAUAGAAUUACUCUCCUUUAACUUAUUGGCAGGGUUCUUCUCAAGGAUAGAGUUUUUCAACACAAAGACACCAUUGCUGAACAUUUGAGCUGCCCUGAAAAAUUCAGAGCACGCUUCUAUUCCAGUUCUAAUCCACUCAGGUCUAAACACCUAAAUGCUAAUUUUGACGACCGUGCAUGAGGGACAUGCUUUUAUGGGGAUUCUAAAGAAUACAAAACCAAAAAUACCUCAGCUGCAGAAGAAGCUCACUGUAUUCCUUCCUCCACUUUCUGAUUAUGGUUUAAAAUUUAUUCAAUCCUUGCAGGUUUACUCCAAAGUCUUUGGGAAUGAUGGGAAUUAUUCUAUUGACACCAAACUCUGCUUUCUACUGGAUUAUGGAAGAUGUUUGGGCAUCAGGUUUGCUGGCAGUGGCACGCUAAUGAAAUGGGGAAUUUUAUAAACACAUCAGGGAGGGAUGGAGUCCUAUCAGACUUGCUAUGGAGCUUACAUACCAGCAAAGAAAGUGGGCAAGCUGUGCAAAGCCUCCUACGUUAUUUUUAGGUUAAUAGAAAUGCUUUGUGCAAGGUCACAAAGUUCUUUACUGUUCCUCUUCAGAAGCCAUCCCAAACAAAACCACCCUGAGAUACUGAAUUGAUGAUACAAACGGAUUAUGUUUAGGGUUUCCCAUGAAAACCUUCUAUAGGAUAAAGCCAAACAGGCAAAAAGGUUUGGAGGGAGCAACUCAGUUUUCAUGAGGCUUCCCAACUGAAAAAGAGUUAAAGAUGUUAAAGAUGCAUCAAAAUCAUGUAAUGUGCCCUAAUAGAUAUUUUUUAAAUUAAUAUUUGCUUUGAAAUAUGCUUUCAUUUAAUUUUUUAAUUCAUAAAUGAAUGCAAAAAAUGAAAUAUUUUGAAAUUACUGAAGGAAAUGAUUCAGUGACUUUUUUUCCCUCAAACUUAUUGGUUUGCCAGAGAAUUAGUUGGAAAAAUGAAAUCUUGAAAACUCCCAAAGGAUAGAAAAAAGUACUUCUCUGCUAGCUACAAAAUGAGAGGAAAAUAUAAUGACAUUUUCAUUAGCACAAAGAUUUACUAAAAUACCCACAUUUUCAUGGAAGUUGCACAGACUUGAACUCAGACACACUUAGGGUUCCUUUCCAAGUGUGAUGCUUACGUACGGUAAGUGAUAACUUUUUUUUUUUUUUAUUACACUUGAUCAUCUACGCUCCUAGAUAAAUAUCUGGAGGUGUUCCAGCCCCCACAGGGCUUAGUCCCUUUUUCAUACAUUGUCACAAGAAGGACGGAAAGCAUGGGCAGGGAAUUUCACACAGUUAUAGUCCACAGACUAAUGUGUUUAAACAAAAAAUGAUAAUUAACUCUGAAAUAAUUUAAAAGUGGGCUAUCCAAGAUGAAGGAGCCCUGGAUGCCAAGAGGGGCUAGGCUUUGUAGGGGGCACACAACAGCUACACUGUGCAGUGUUAACGGUGUAGGGAAGGAACAUCCUUAAAUGUUGGCUCAGUUUAUCAGGAAUUUUUCUGAACUGUUACCUCCAGCUUUCUCCAGAACACCCUCAGUCCUUUUAUCUGUGAGCUAUCUCAAAGUUUACUGCCUGCCUAUUGCCUUGGCUGAACCACACUAAUAGCCGGCUAAUUACAUGUGAACACGCUAAUUUGCUUUAUGCCUUUCUCAAAAAAACAUGCACGUGCAGGCAAGCAUGUGAGCAAACUUUUGUUCAUGCAAUAAAACUGCAGCACUGCAUGGAAUGGGUGUACCAGCCCAAGCACUGGAAAAUGUUGCAUGCUUGCUGCCCCCCAUUUCUUGCCCCCACCAGGCCCCCACCAAUGCUCAUUGUUCCUAUUUGCAACACCACCUGUUGCUCCAGCACCAGGCUGCUCUAGACCAGAAAGUGGAGCAAAGAGAAAUACGUGUUUGUCAUUGAACGGAGAAGAAGGAAGACGAGAACGAUAAGAUCAUAGCCUGCAGCACUUUGUUUAUGAGAACAUCCUUCCAGUGAUAUAUGUCUGCACCAGGUGAAAGUAUUGUGUCACCCCUAACAUAUUUUAAAUGCCAGGGCUGUCAUGCAAGAAGACAAUGAUGAACAAGUUUAAACAGAAUAUGGUAUUGUAGCCAUGCACAGUGUUACCCUUUAAAGGUUUGCAUCAGUAGCAUUUCUUAACAAAACAUUUCCGGACUGUUAUAUUCCCCUAUAGAACCUCUUUUACAUAACAUUUAAACUCAGAAAUAUUAUUUCCAUUGGAGAGAAACUGAUGGAGUUAUACAUAAACCAGUGCAGUUUCCUCAUGCAAGUUUUUCAGGCUAUUUCAAAUGCCUUCCCAGCCAUAUUAAGAGCUUCCCCUAACUACUUGGAUAGGGACCUGGGGACCACACUUUACUUGGCACACAGGUAAAUAAAGGCACGCCUACACUGGGCACGGAAGAGCAGGGACUGGGCCUAGGUCACUGCAUGUCAGAGUCUUACUUGGAUGAGGUCUGGUGUGCUCCAAUUGACUGAAAGCCUGCUAGCUGCAUCACGUGGUUAACUCUGCACACGAGCACUCACUUUGCGUGCUCCAAGAUUGCCUCGUGCUGCACAGCACAGUAAGCGGGGUCAGAUGGAGAAUUUACUUAAAGGGCACUCCUGGGCCAAGGGGAAAUGCUACUGGAGAAGCACCUUUUGUCCCAAAGGAGGUAUGCACGGAGCUACCAUCACAGGGCAGUUUUCUUCCCAGAUAUUUAUCUUGAGCUCGACUGCACGAACACCAUCACUGUGCUCUAACACCAUUGCACAACAUGACUCCUCCAGACUGACAGCUCAAAUUGAGCCUUGGGGAAGCCAGCAUCCAACACACGGCAUUGAACGUGGGCAUGACCAUAUCCACCCCAGGGUCAGGUGAAAGAGCUGUAGCCAUGAAUGUCACAUGAAGGCAACCGUGACAACAGAGCUUUACACCUUGGAGGCACGCUAAGGUCAGAGCCACUCCGUGAACCAUCCAGGACAACAUUCAAAGUGCUUUACAAGAGAGGAAAGGGAAUUUGAGCACCUGAAAAAUGCCCAAAGAGCUAGGAUUUCUUAAGUGCUUACUGAGGUCCUGUGUGGGCUCACGUAACGUGCUCAGCAUCUCCCCAUCAGUAUUUGUUUCUGUAAAAUAGAAACACCUUAUUUUUCUCAGAAGGUUAUUAGGAAGACUUUCCAAUUAAAGUUUUCUAUAAAUGUAAGUGCCUUGUGAACAGUAUUUAAUCACCUGACUAAAAAUUUUCUCCAACUUCUUUAGGCAGAACAUCAGUUUUUAUAGGGACUUGUCAAGGUGCUCAGCUUAACAUAAGGCUGCAGGAUCACACGCUGCAUCUUUAAGACAUAGUUUACUCCUGAAUCAGUAAAUGUACUAGACAAAGCAGCCAUUAUUUAUGCAUUCCUGCAUAGAUGGCAAGGUGAAAAUAAUAGAAUAAACAUCAUAUACUUCAUUAUGAUAUCGGUUUACACUUCCAGGGUACACAAAAAGAGGCCAUUUCAUCAAGCUAAUUGCCUGAAAGUAAAAGAGAGAGAACUUUAGCUAUUAGUCUAUUAUGGGGCUUUUUUCUUAAUCACAAAUAGGGGCCGUGUGUCCCCAGGGGGAUGUGUAUUCUAAUUUACAAUUGAACUACAGAUCAGAGCAAUCAAUCUUGUGCAGCACUUUUACAGUGUAAUUGCUGCAACAUAACAAAUAAAAAAAAGCAGCCUAAGUCGAGUUUCAGCUUGAGGUGGAGAUAUUUACCAGGCAUUGGGUCGGGGUGGGAGGGAGGCAGAGAGAGAAGAGAGGCGCCAAAGCCAUGAAUAUGCAAUGAGGGCUCAUUAGUGCCCCAGUGUUGCCAUGACGAAUGGCAUUAUCCCCAGACUGGUGCAGCCUAAACAUGAAUUUUAUAACGACCCAUUUAUCAUGACUUGUCAUGGGUUUCUUUACUGUACUUCCUACUGGCUCUCACACCUUCCUCCAUUAUCACCUCAGAAUCCCUUCCUUUUAUUUUCCCUUACUCCAGUUUAGUUUUUGGUAGCAAUGCCUAUAGCGAGGAGAUGACUGCGAGGGGCAGCCCGCUGGUGUUCAGGAGAAGCUCGGAGCCUCCUGAGCUGGAGAGCCACAGCCAGACACGUAGGUGGUCUUCAGUCCACUUACUAGCGGAUAAGCGUCCUCAUUGUCACAAAGAUCUGCAAUCUUGUCAGUUGACUCAGCAGAAAGGUCUCGGAUUGACUGAGCAUCGAGACAACUAUCUUUCCUUUCUGGCAGAUGUGAUGGAUGAAUGUGUUUUGUUGACCUAGGCCUGUCUAAAAGUGCUCUUCCUCAGCCCACGCCAGCGAUGCACUCAGUAGAAAAAUUCACCCCUUGCCUCUACAUCAACAGAAGUACUAAAUCGGAUAAAUGGACAAAAAUUACAUUCUGCCCAGCUGCAGUUAAACUGAAAAAAUAUAUACUAGAUGCAAAACUUUAGUGAUAGGAAAAGCAUUUACCUUCCAGGUGCAAGAGGUAACAGUCAACACUAGAGGAAAACAAAAUUACUGCAGAGUAAUUAGUGUGUCUGGCUUUAGCUCAUUUUUGGUCACUGCACGUUGUCUCUGGUUUACUGCUGUCCCUUUGGCCUACCCGAUUCCACAUUUAAUAUACCACUGCUUAUAAAGAAAUCCCUGCGGCUCAGAAGGCUGAAUUGCCACUGCUGGGGUAGGGCCUGCUCUCCAGUAUAUAGAGGCUUUCAUUUCCCAAGUUAUGAAUCUGACAUCUCAUGGCCAAAUCCAUGCCAGUUUAUUUCUGAGAAGUCUGUCCUCAUUAUUUACCCCAAAUAGUUUCACUGUCAGUAUGCCUUUUUUUUCCACUGUGAAGUGGCCAGAGUAUCUGAAAGUAUCAAGCCUCUCUUUGUUGGAUUUUACACUUUUGCUAUUACAAGAAUUUGUCUUUGGGGAUAGAAAAAUCAAGCAACUUAUUUCCAGCUAUUACUUGGAUAGGACUUCAUGUUCUUAAACAAGUUGUGAGCUCCCACGAUCUCUGAAAACAACUCUCCCGAGGUCUUACAUCAGGAUAGUCCUACAGUUCUUUCAUUACUCUACUGGAUGUUUGAAAAUAUUAAAAGGCAUCUAACAUCCCAGUCCAGCAAUUUACAGACUCAGAGUCUGGUGCUGUAGCCCUCAAAGCCUCUAUUUCUUCCACAAAAUCCGCACUUUGCUAUUAUUGUCGCCAAGACAGGCACGUGUUUCACUAGAGGAGCAGUUUGUCAAAGCAACAGUCCAUUAUCCAAAGAUUCAUCACAGGUUCCUACUUCAGACACGAUGGAAGGGAGGCUGGAUGGUAGAACGUGACGGGGAAGGAGAGCUUCCUUGCAGCAAGGUGCGUGAGGCAGGUGGCACACCUUGACCCAAGCUGGGCGUAGCUGAUUAGGCCAGCAUAUGCUGAUGUGAAAAAGCCAGGCUUUUUUUUUUUUUCCCCACCCCAAACUGUGUUCUUUAUCUGUGUUCCUUUAAAAUACAUAGUUUUUAAAGCCUCAAACAGCACCUUGCACAAAUCCCUGACCUUUGGCGGAGAACCCCAGUUCUCACUGCAAUACAGACGAUGGAUGCUAUGUUAAUUAUCAGAAGACAAAAGGAAAAAAUAUCCCUCUUAAAGAAGCAAGCCAGAAAUGCCUGCUAACAUUGCAGAAAGCAUCCAUUGCAUUCACAGGGAUGCAGUACACAGCAAAUGUGACAACUGUUCCUCAAAAUAUACUUACUCUGUGGCCUAGGUGAUCUGGAUCAUCUGUUGUGUGAAGAGAAAGGAGAGUCUCAGAAACAAUAUGACAAUUAAAUUCUUUUAAACUCCUAUUAGGAGUUCUAAAACUUGCUGUAGUUGGUGCAAGGUCUGACAGAUACGCCUGACUGCAGAGCCUCUAUCUGCAGUUUAUGAGAAGGAAUAAGCAGACGCCUGUUUGAGUUGAUUUUAGUAUUUUAGUCCCAUGCAGAGAGUUUUCUUUAUUAUUUUAUAUCAAUACUUGUGGGUCCCUCAGGGAAAAAGGCUCAUCGUUCUUCCACUCAUCUCAUCAAAAAGGCAGACAUUGAAACAAAGAUUAUUAGAAGCCAGCCAAUGCAGAUGACACCUAGCUCUGUCACCUUACCACCCGCUAUCACUACAAUCCCACCAUAGAUGUCUAGGUUGAGAUCAACAUCCACAUGGAGGGCAGCUGCCUGAGAGAGAAAAAACAUUCGCUGUUCCUCAGUCCACAAACAGCAAUAAUUAAAAUAAAGUAAUUCCAAUCCUUAAAAUAUUAAGUCCUUGGUACUAAACCAAUGAGCCUCUAAUUAUAGGAAACACUCAAGCUCCAGGAAGAAAAUGAAAACUGUCAUUGUCACACAAAUCCAGCUUCCAACAAAAAUAUCAUUGGUUCAAGACAAAUUAAAAAGUAUAGGCAAAAAUUUAAAGUGGAAGACCGGCAUAUAGCAUAGAACGAAUUUUUUAUCCUGAAUUCAAGGCACGUUUAAUGAUUGACUGCUUUAGGAUCAGAAGUUGGCUAGGAGCAAACUCACUUGAAAAUACUGCACCAAAUAUAUUUGAAUACAAUCAAAUCCUGACCUCAAAAUUAUGCAAAUUUACAUCCACCAGUUUGCCACGUUUACAGAUAGAAUUCUUAAGAUGCAAGAGAAAACUGGGAUAGAGCUGCAGGUGUGAUUACUACAUAACGUUGCUCAGAAUCUGUUCAAUUGACGUAUUUAGAAGAGAAACUAAAAAAGCAGAUAUUAUUUCUUCGUAUAAAACAACAUACUUUAAAGGCACAUGAUAAAAUGCAGACUUGGAAUGAGUUUUGUACUCUAAUUUGAACACCUAGACAGUACCAGGAACACACCUUGCCAUGCCUGCAGAGAUACCAGUUGUACUACAUAAACUUCUGCACUUUUUUUUUUUUUUUUUUGGCUGUUUCUUUUGUAGAUAAAUCCCUCCCUUCUUAAUUGUAUUUCAAAAAAGGCCUAAUAUUUUUCCCAACUGUACUCUCUGAAGCUUAGCAUCAGGCAUCCUAAUAAAAGAACGAUCUUUUCCUCUGGUUCUGAUCAGUUUUGACUUUCAGCUUUCUCCACCUUUCCUUAUUCAGGGCCAAUGUCUUGCUGCUUUCCACUUUUAAACAAACAAACAAAAUGCCCUUCCCCUCCUUCUUCCCUUAUACCCCCCCCCUCUUCUUUAAUGACAUCUUCAGUCAUUAAUGAGUUAAUAAAAAUCUCAAAGUCAUCUGGGAAUAGAUAAGGGGAAAGAAAGAAGAGUAUUGUACACAUAAUGACAGGCUCCCUGCUGGCCCUAAGAUGUCAUGGGUCAGCCAUGUUAAGAAUGUGUGUGCCCAAUCAUCUGCUGAUUUUUAUCAGCAAGGCCUCAAGCAGAAUCUGACACGGCCAGUUUGGGAGUUACAAUGAAUAAACAAUGACUUCUUGGAUUGUUGGCGGCUGUAUGAUAGAGUGAGAGGGUUUAUAUAUACUAAAACAUGAUGACAUUAGCAAUCAAUAUACCAAUUACUGGACAAGUUAUUGGACGAAGAAUGCUCAUGUCUUGAGCUUUGUGCACUUUGAACAUACUACCAGUGACGGAGACCACAGAAAUAAUGGUACUUAACCCUUCCUGAGUGAGACGUGCUAAUUCUUGACAAUGCCUUGAAGUUUGUCUGAGUGCGUGGUAAAAGAAAACCUGGUCUGAUUUAGCAUAUUAAGUCUUUCAGAUAGAAGACAUAAGCCUGACAAAUUUCUUUUUCAUUAGGACUUAAAGGAAGAAAGGAGCAGAUUUUUCAAGUGAGCAUUGGGAUGUUAGAACAGCGGUUUUAACAAAUUUAAAUUGCUCUCCAUAAAAUCUCAGAGGAAAUCAAUUUCUUUUCACCCAAGCACCACUAGCUCGCUACACAAACUUCACUGAGAAGUUAGAACACACCUUUUACAGGACGGUUUAGACAAAUAUCCCAACAGCUCUCACCUGCCUAUUCUGCAGCAGAGAAAGGAAGAUAAAACUAAGAUACUUUUCUUAUUCCUAUGCUACCAGAAACGCAUUCCUGCAUCUGUUCAGUGUCAUCCUCUUGCUUCUCUUAGUUGGCUGAAAAUAUUCAGUGUUUACGAGUUUGUCUUCUAUUAUUCUGGAAGCGAUUGUGAAGAUUCAAUGCCAGUGUUAUAAUUGAAGCCAGAAUCAAACGUAGUAAAGUCAGCCACCUAAUUCAAAGCACAGCUGGAGAAGAUAAUGGAGGUGGACACCAGUGUGGUGGGCAGACCUGCCAUACCUGGGGGCACAGAAGAAGCACUGUCUAGGCUGGAUUACAUGGUGCCACCUCUCCACUGUCCACUAAGAUGGACAACUCCAUGACCUAAUGGAAAGCCUGUGGGUUUUGCCCCGAGAUGACUCAUAAACAUGUGGGAAAGAUUUUAUGAUGGCUCUCUUGCCAAGAUCUGGGAAGCAGAGGUUCCAUACAAACUCUUGACUUUUAUUCAGGUAAGAGCAAACAAGGCAGGGCAUAAAUAUAAGAACUAACUUUGUCUUCUAGGGCAUCAGCCAGCACAGUAGAAAUUGUGCAAAAAAAAAAAAAAUCACCACAUUCUAUGUAGAUCAGGGGGCUGAAUAAAAGCUUAAGAUGCAUCUUUUACAGACCACUCUUGUAACACAUGAGCUCGAGUGUUGCUCUAAAUUACAAUCAACUCUGCUUCUCAGAGCACUAAGCGCUUCCCAGGGUUGUAUUGGACAGUAAUGGCAGGGGGAUCAGUCCCAGACAUUGGGGAAAAAUAGAUGAGACUGCAUCUGGUUUUAACUGCAAUGGUUAUGAAAUGUUCAGCUGUAUCCUCUCAAAUGGCUCUUCCCUUUCCAUUAAGUUCUUGAAAAGUUUGAAAGUGAAUUUGUCCAGCGCGUCUGAUAUGAAUAACAAAAUGCUUUUAAAUGUAAAUGUUUCAUAAAAUAGCACCAUUACCUCGCAUUACAGUGAAUACAGUUGAAAAAACUCAAUCCCUCCUCUGUAAUUUACAAUUAACUUUUUGCCUCAAGGUAACAGCUACGUUCACAAAAAUAAUGGUAAUAGAUUGACCUUGUUAUGAAUGGAUAACAAGCUGGAAACAAUAUAGUUUGUCACAGAGCAUUAACUGUUACUGUUGAAAUUGUAAAUAAUGUGUAUAGAACUCACAAUGUAAAUGGCUUCCCUUAAAAAUAUUAAUUAUGUCGAUUAAACACUUGAUGCAUAAUGGAUUAUUCUGAAACCUAUUUAAGUCCAUGUCAGACUGAAUACACUAUUCUCUAAGAUCCCAUUCCUAGACUGCUGGAAAAUCUACGGCUGUGCUCUGACUGUUCAUGGUGGACAAAUGGCUUACAAUAGAAUAUUGCCUUAAAGAUAUAUGGAUGCUUCUGCUGUUUGGAUUGCUGCAUGCUUUCUUACUGAGUACAACAUCAGAAGAUUAGAUGUCUAGAGACACUGGACUCUUCUGAGAUGCUUUUAGGCUGCUUUGGAAAUUAAUGAGAAGCAACCCUCACCCAACAGUGCUGGACAUUUACUGGAGGAUCUCUAUGGGACACAGAGCACUCCACUGGCUUUUAUGCCUUUUCAUGAUCACUGGUAAUGGGACAGAGGAAUACGAGAAAGUUUUUACACCUGGCUGGUUUCUUACACCAAAGUGGUGUAACUCAUCAAGGGGCUUUGAGGAUUGAUGCUACUCGGCUGAUCUCCUCUUUGUAUGUCCUUUGGAGCCAGGGCUGCAGGCACCUGGGAGGAGAUUGCUAUCACGUGGCUUUAGAAAGCAAUCCAAAACUGGUAUAUAACACAUGGCAUAGAAAAGAUUAGACUUUUCUCUCAAGUGUCUGGGGACUACUAAUUCACAAACAGGAGACUUAACCAUAUUUUUGUGCUUUCCAACCACAGUAAGUGUUCCUCAGCUGUAGCUCAACACUGGACUUAACAGCACAAUACUUCAGUGUUCUGGCUAAUUACCAUGUAUAGACUGUUGCAUUAUAAAGGAGGGAUUCCCGCUAGAUUAUCCACAUAGAGAAAGUGAUAUUAAAACGACAAGCCACCAAGAGGUCAAAUAACCAGUUGCCAGAAGUUAGAAUAACUAGACUGUGAAGCAGCAAUAUCUGGGGAGCUGGCAUGUGUCCCAGGACUGGUUGUCAUACAAAUGAAAGAAAAGACAGCUGGAAUCUUUUUGGAUUGGCUGUUAUUUUCUCUGAAUAUAGUGUAAAUCUAUCACUUCGUUUUUUCAACCAAACGCCUGAACUGGGAGUUGGGAAACUGAUUCAGUAAAAUAUAAAGUCUCUUUAUACAUCA
Non-coding RNA from Anas platyrhynchos (mallard), 21295 nucleotides. NCBI's taxonomy places the organism in Eukaryota, Metazoa, Chordata, Aves, Anseriformes, Anatidae. The record is from RefSeq and is a predicted model, not a curated record.